CGAGGCAGUGUCAUUGAUUGAAAACGUGGACGGUUAUGGCGGGUUUUUAGAAUUCGAUAAAAAAUGAAUGUUGAACGGAAAAAAAAGGAAUCCUUUCUUGUUUCAAAAUCAGAUACAAACACGCAGAGUUGUGUUUUCUUUCGCGUUUUCGGGUAUUUUUGCUAAGAAUUCCCUCGUUUUUGCGAAAGGUACUGUAGCGUUUUGCCGUACCGCUAUUUUAUAAUUGGUGGAUGCGUUAACAUUUGCAUAUCGCGUAUAUAUAUUUUUUGUGGGAUGAUAGUUGAUGCUCCUGUUUUAGCGUUUAUUAAGACAUUAUGCGCUUCCAGUACUAUUCAAUUAAGGAUUAUAUCCUAUCGUAAGCAUAGCAACUUUAGUGCAGGAUCUGCAAAAUAAUAUUAGUCGAGUUUUUGGAUUUUUUGUUUUGGAACUUACCUUUCCGAAUGGUCCAGUAGAGGCGGGUCUAAGAAAGAAUAGUCCUACGCUCGGAAACCGAAGAUGUAAGAGGUAUCCAAGUAUACCUCAUGGUAUAAAAUAUGCCGUAGCUGACAUGUGCAAUAGAUAGUGUGAUCGAGAAAAUAGGGGAUUCGGAAGGUUGUUGCUUUUCUUGAGAUGGAGAUGCCGGAUGAUCAAAAGCUGGAUUUGAGACGGUCGGUCGGUGCCAUUUCGUCCUGGUCUGAGUACCUUUGAGACGUUGACGCCCCGCAAUUGGUUUGGGAGGACCCAUCUGAAUAUUUGAAUCCUUGAACCAGUCAUGAAAUUGGUUCUCGAGGGGGUCGAUUGAUGCCACGCAAGGGUUACUUUCUGUUAGCCUCUUGCUAGCCAGGAUGUAUUAAUUAAUGACGAGUCUUUGACUUCCUUUCCGCUGGUACUUAGACUACAUUGGACUACAUUGAAAGCAGUCUAAAAUGUUGGCGAACGCGUGGAUUUCUUUCCUGCAAUAUCUAUGGCAAUGCAGACGCCGCCUUUCGCAGUACCUAAAUAGCGGGGCAGCCCUUCAGAGUAUCUUCGGUGGACGCCCUCCAUCUCCCUGCGGAGUCCCAACGUGUUUGGUCAUGGCCCGCAGAUAAGAUUGAGUUCACCCCAUCAUUUUAUAUUUGCUAUUUUAUUACUUACUUUAAACCAACUUGAAGGUAGUUGUCAAAUUUAGUUUGUUUUUUUAUUUUAUUUUAUUAAGUACGUCUAUUUCCAUGUAUAAUUAUUAAAUCGACAUCUUAAUUAGGGGGUACCCAGAUAAUCGGUCACAUAUUAUAUGAAGUUAAGUAAAAUUUAUGGUGCAUCCUCUAAUCCAUUUUGGGGUGUUGGGGUGUUUGAUCGUUUAAUUUGUCACUCCUGUUGCUGAUUAUCUAUUAAGAUGAGUUUCUUGAUUCGAUCAGUAUUCUUUGCCAUCUUUUUUCUAAAUAAAAAGUGUUACAAUUUUUAAUAAGGUGAGAACCGAAAGUAAUAAGUUUCUGUCGCAUCGAAGACAUACCCAUAGUGCUACCGCUUGCCUCUCUGGGUAAGUUCUGAAGAAAAAACAAAGGUGCGCAAAACGCCAAAAUGCAAAUAUGCAGGGUGUUUCACCGUUGAUGAUACCUUAGACGUCUACGGCGAAGGAUACAUUUCUAAACAUUUGGUUAGUUCCAUUAACGGCGAUGCUCUAUCGAUGUAAAAUAUUUUUCAAACUGCGACGUUGCCGCUUCUUCGAAAAAGUAGGAUUAACAUUGAAAUUUUUAAUUGGACACCACGUAUAUUAGGGCAUUUUCUGAUCCGCCAAUACUUUGUUUUUUUUUUUAAUGAAAAAUACGUUACUAUCCUUACUGGUUUUCGAGAAAUUUAUUAUUUUCUUCAAUUUUCCGAUCCAAACAUACCUUCAUUUAAAUUUUUAUUAUUACGACACUGGAGCCAGUAGAAAGUUAAAAUUAUAGACAUUGCAUUAUUUUUUAAUAUCAAAAUAAAUUCUGUAUCUUAAAUAACUCCACUCUUAUUUUUUGUACCCUUAUAUGUAGCACGAGCUGGCCAUUUAAUGGAGUUUCGUUUUCCAACGGUAGCAAUAAUCUCAACUUGUUUCU
Molecule: long non-coding RNA, 2048 nt
Organism: Cylas formicarius (sweet potato weevil)
Lineage: Eukaryota; Metazoa; Arthropoda; Insecta; Coleoptera; Brentidae
Exons: 3
Source: RefSeq, a predicted model, not a curated record